GACGAACCGAGCGAACGUUGUUCGGAAUCACUGGGCUUAAAGGGCGCGUAGGCGGGCUGUCAAGUCUGGGGUGAAAUCCCGCGGCUCAACCGUGGAACUGCCUCAGAUACUGACGGCCUCGAGGGGGGUAGGGGCGAGCGGAACUCUCAGUGGAGCGGUGAAAUGCGUUGAUAUUGGGAGGAACUCCGGUGGCGAAGGCGGCUCGCUGGACCUUUUCUGACGCUGAGGCGCGAAAGCUAGGGGAGCAAACGGG
RNAcentral lists this ribosomal RNA (253 nucleotides) under uncultured bacterium. RNAcentral's name for it is "partial 16S ribosomal RNA". It matches the Rfam family "Bacterial small subunit ribosomal RNA", at positions 524 to 776 of the family's 1533-position model. The record is from RNAcentral.